UAAAUAUGUGUAUAUAUAAAUAUGUGUAUAUAUAAAUAUGUGUUUAUUGUUUUUAUAAUUUAUAGAAUAAAGCUAAUUUCCCUAUACUAGAACCCGAUAACUAUUCACAUGAAGAAUUACAUUAUGUAAAAAAAAAUAUAUAUAUAUAUAUAUAUAUAUUUUAAAUGAAGAUAUUAUUAAAUGCGUGUUUUGGUAUUUAAAUAAUUAUUAUAGCAUGUGUCAUAUAUUUUAUUAUUUUUUUUAUAAACACAUUUAGGAUAUGCCGGCUUGGAUUGAAGAUAUGAUUAUAUUGUCAAACAAAAGUAAAGGCACUUUAGAGUCGUUAGGUUUAGAAAACCUACCAGAUUUCAACGAAUGCAAAAAGAUUAGCAAUUUUCAGGAACAAAUUCUAUGCAUAGUUGAAGCACUUGAAGACAUUAAGGACACUUACCAAAAUGCUAAAGACAUAACUUCACUAACAGCAAGAGUUUUGGCUGGAGGAAGACUAGCCGUACGGGCUUUAUCAAGACUGCAAACUUUGGCCUCAACCAUUGAUAACAAACAGCUAAUGAAAAAAAUAGGAACACCAAUGGCUACACUGAUAUUACUGCAAAGAGAAACUACAUCAGAUAGAACCAGGUGGUUAUGUGGAUCUAUUUUAACUCUGUUAACUGAUUUACCAGUAGUAUCAGACAUAGCGGAUGUAAAUACAGGGUCGUAUGGUCACGUAAACGUCAUCAUGCCCAGACAGUCUAGAAUUAGAAAUCCUGAUAGAACAAUUUUGAGGCUAAGAGAAGGUGUUUCACCUUCAGAUCUAAUAAAUGGAUAUACAUCAAGUUAAAAAAAAGAAAAAAAAAAAAAGACCUACUUUGAAAAAUAAGUAUACAUUCCUCUUUCACUUACAUAUUU
This 888-nucleotide long non-coding RNA is filed under the name Piliocolobus tephrosceles (Ugandan red Colobus). RNAcentral's name for it is "lncRNA (ENSPTEG00000021028.1)". Lineage: Eukaryota; Metazoa; Chordata; Mammalia; Primates; Cercopithecidae. The record is from RNAcentral.